This 532-nucleotide ribosomal RNA is filed under the name uncultured bacterium. RNAcentral describes it as "bacterial SSU rRNA". It matches the Rfam family "Bacterial small subunit ribosomal RNA", at positions 8 to 526 of the family's 1533-position model. The record is from RNAcentral.
AGAGUUUGAUCAUGGCUCAGGACGAACGCUGGCGGCGUGCUUAACACAUGCAAGUGGAGCGACGAACCAGGCUUCGGCCUGGGGCAGAGCCGCGAACGGGUGAGUAACACGUGGGUAACCUGCCUCGAUGACUGGGACAACCCGGGGAAACCCGGGCUAAUACCGGAUGUGCUGCCUUCACAUCAGUGAGGGUUGGAAAGGAAGCUUCGGCCUCCGCAUCGAGAUGGGCCCGCGGCCCAUUAGCUUGUUGGUGAGGUAAAGGCUCACCAAGGCUGCGAUGGGUAGCUGGUCUGAGAGGACGAUCAGCCACACUGGGACUGAGACACGGCCCAGACUCCUACGGGAGGCAGCAGUGGGGAAUCUUGCGCAAUGCGCGAAAGCGUGACGCAGCAACGCCGCGUGGGGGAAGAAGGCCUUCGGGUUGUAAACCCCUUUCAGGAGGGACGAAGGUCGGGCGGUGAAUAGCCGACCCGACUGACGGUACCUCCAGAAGAAGCCCCGGCUAACUACGUGCCAGCAGCGGCGGUAAUAC